UACGGAGGGUGCAAGCAUUAAUCGGAAUUAUUGGGCGUAAAGGGCGCGUAGGCGGAUUUGUAAGUCAGAUGUGAAAUUCCAAGACUCAAUUUUGGAGCUGCAUUUGAAACUGUAAGCCUAAGAGGGUAGACGGAGAAAACGGAAUUCCACAUGUAGCGGUGAAAUGCGUGGAUAUGUGGAAGAACACCGGUGGCGAAAGCGGUUUUCUAGUUUAUGCCUGACGCUGAUGCGCGAGAGCAAGGGGAGCAAACAGG
RNAcentral lists this ribosomal RNA (254 nucleotides) under uncultured bacterium. RNAcentral describes it as "partial 16S ribosomal RNA". It matches the Rfam family "Bacterial small subunit ribosomal RNA", at positions 524 to 776 of the family's 1533-position model. The record is from RNAcentral.